RNAcentral lists this ribosomal RNA (247 nucleotides) under uncultured bacterium. Its description in RNAcentral is "partial small subunit ribosomal RNA". It matches the Rfam family "Bacterial small subunit ribosomal RNA", at positions 27 to 285 of the family's 1533-position model. The record is from RNAcentral.
GGAAUCAACGCUGGCGGCGUGCCUAACACAUGCAAGUCGAACGAGAAAGUGGUAGCAAUACCAUGAGUAAAGUGGCGCACGGGUGAGUAACACGUGACUAACCUACCCUUGAGUGGGGGAUAACUGAGGGAAACCUUAGCUAAUACCGCAUAAUACCCACGGGUCAAAGGAGCAAUUCGCUCGAGGAGGGGGUCGCGGCCGAUUAGUUAGUUGGCGGGGUAAUGGCCCACCAAGACGAUGAUCGGUA